CGGGAUUCCGGUUGAUCCUGCCGGACCUGACUGCUAUCGGAUUGAUACUAAGCCAUGCGAGUCAUUGUAGCAAUACAAGGCAGACGGCUCAGUAACGCGUAGUCAACCUAACCUAUGGACGGGAAUAACCUCGGGAAACUGAGAAUAAUGCCCGAUAGAACAUUAUGCCUGGAAUGGUUUAUGUUCCAAAUGAUUUAUCGCCGUAGGAUGGGACUGCGGCCUAUCAGUUUGUUGGUGAGGUAAUGGCCCACCAAGACUAUUACAGGUACGGGCUCUGAGAGGAGUAGCCCGGAGAUGGGUACUGAGACACGGACCCAGGCCCUAUGGGGCGCAGCAGGCGAGAAAACUUUGCAAUGUGCGAAAGCACGACAAGGUUAAUCCGAGUGGUUUCUGCUAAAGGAACCUUUUGUCGGUCCUAGAAACACCGAUGAAUAAGGGGUGGGCAAGUUCUGGUGUCAGCCGCCGCGGUAAAACCAGCACCUCAAGUGGUCAGGAUGAUUAUUGGGCCUAAAGCAUCCGUAGCCUGCUUUGUUAGUUUUCGGUUAAAUCUGUACGCUCAACGUACAGGCUGCCGGGAAUACUGCAAAGCUAGGGAGUGGGAGAGGUAGACGGUACUCGGUAGGAAGGGGUAAAAUCCUUUGAUCUAUUGAUGACCACCUGUGGCGAAGGCGGUCUACCAGAACACGUCCGACGGUGAGGGAUGAAAGCUGGGGGAGCAAACCGGAUUAGAUACCCGGGUAGUCCCAGCCGUAAACCAUGCAAACUCAGUGAUGCAUUGGCUUGUGGCCAAUGCAGUGCUGCAGGGAAGCCGUUAAGUUUGCCGCCUGGGAAGUACGUACGCAAGUAUGAAACUUAAAGGAAUUGGCGGGGGAGCACCACAAGGGGUGAAGCCUGCGGUUCAAUUGGAGUCAACGCCGGAAAUCACUAGUG
This 930-nucleotide ribosomal RNA is filed under the name uncultured archaeon. RNAcentral describes it as "bacterial SSU rRNA". It matches the Rfam family "Archaeal small subunit ribosomal RNA", at positions 1 to 935 of the family's 1478-position model. The record is from RNAcentral.